CCUACGGGGGGCAGCAGUGAGGAAUAUUGGUCAAUGGACGAGAGUCUGAACCAGCCAAGUAGCGUGAAGGAUGACUGCCCUAUGGGUUGUAAACUUCUUUUAUAUGGGAAUAAAAUGUUCCACGUGUGGGAUUUUGUAUGUACCAUAUGAAUAAGGAUCGGCUAACUCCGUGCCAGCAGCCGCGGUAAUACGGCGGAUCCGAGCGUUAUCCGGAUUUAUUGGGUUUAAUGGGAGCGUAGGUGGAUUGUUAAGUCAGUUGUGAAAGUUUGCGGCUCAACCGUAAAAUUGCAGUUGAAACUGGCAGUCUUGAGUACAGUAGAGGUGGGCGGAAUUCGUGGUGUAGCGGUGAAAUGCUUAGAUAUCACGAAGAACUCCGAUUGCGAAGGCAGUUCACUGGACUGCAACUGACACUGAGGCUCGAAAGUGUGGGUAUCAAACAGGAUUAGAUACCCCAGUAGUC
This 460-nucleotide ribosomal RNA is filed under the name uncultured bacterium. RNAcentral describes it as "partial 16S ribosomal RNA". It matches the Rfam family "Bacterial small subunit ribosomal RNA", at positions 338 to 795 of the family's 1533-position model. The record is from RNAcentral.